RNAcentral lists this unclassified non-coding RNA (226 nucleotides) under uncultured fungus. RNAcentral describes it as "sequence contains ITS1, 5.8S rRNA gene, ITS2 and 28S rRNA gene". Lineage: Eukaryota; Fungi. The record is from RNAcentral.
GGAAGGAUCAUUACUGAGUCGUCGACACGAGUUGUUGCUGGUCCCCACAUGGGGGCAUGUGCACGCUCUGUUUACACAUCCACUCACACCUGUGCACCCUCUGUAGUUCUAUGGUCUGGGGGACCCUGUCUUCCUUCUGUGGUUCUGCAUCUUUACACACACACUGUAAUAAAGUCAUAUGGAAUGUACACCGCGUUUAACGCAAUACAAUACAACUUUCAGCAAC